This 468-nucleotide ribosomal RNA is filed under the name uncultured bacterium. RNAcentral's name for it is "partial 16S ribosomal RNA". It matches the Rfam family "Bacterial small subunit ribosomal RNA", at positions 28 to 507 of the family's 1533-position model. The record is from RNAcentral.
GACGAACGCUGGCGGCGUGCUUAACACAUGCAAGUCGAACGGAAAGGCCCUGCUUUUGUGGGGUGCUCGAGUGGCGAACGGGUGAGUAACACGUGAGUAACCUGCCCUUGACUUUGGGAUAACUUCAGGAAACUGGGGCUAAUACCGGAUAGGAGCUCCCGCUGCAUGGUGGGGGUUGGAAAGUUUCGGCGGUUGGGGAUGGACUCGCGGCUUAUCAGCUUGUUGGUGGGGUAGUGGCUUACCAAGGCUUUGACGGGUAGCCGGCCUGAGAGGGUGACCGGCCACAUUGGGACUGAGAUACGGCGCAGACUCCAACGGGGGGCAGCAGUGGGGAAUAUUGCACAAUGGGCGGGAGCCUGAUGCAGCAACGCCGCGUGCGGGAUGACGGCCUUCGGGUUGUAAACCGCUUUCGCCUGUGACGAAGCGUGAGUGACGGUAAUGGGUAAAGAAGCACCGGCUAACUACGUG